RNAcentral lists this ribosomal RNA (445 nucleotides) under uncultured bacterium. RNAcentral describes it as "bacterial SSU rRNA". It matches the Rfam family "Bacterial small subunit ribosomal RNA", at positions 354 to 796 of the family's 1533-position model. The record is from RNAcentral.
GUGAGGAAUAUUGCGCAAUGGAGGCAACUCUGACGCAGCCAUGCCGCGUGCAGGAAGAAGGCGCUACGCGUUGUAAACUGCUUUUAACCGGGAAGAAACCCCAGGACGUGUCCUGGGUUGACGGUACCGGAGGAAUAAGCACCGGCUAACUUCGUGCCAGCAGCCGCGGUAAUACGAAGGGUGCAAGCGUUAUCCGGAUGCAUUGGGUUUAAAGGGUGCGUAGGCGGAGCGUUAAGUCAGUGGUGAAAUCCUGCAGCUUAACUGUAGACUUGCCAUUGAUACUGGCGCUCUUGAGUGCGCUUGAAGUGGGCGGAAUGUGCCGUGUAGCGGUGAAAUGCUUAGAUAUGGCACAGAACACCAAUUGCGAAGGCAGCUCACUAAGGCGAUACUGACGCUGAGGCACGAAAGCGUGGGGAUCGAACAGGAUUAGAAACCCGUGUAGUCC